GGUAGAAUGGCUGAGAUUUAGGCAAUAGAUUGUAAAUCUAUUUAGGAGGGGAAACCUCUUCUACCA
RNAcentral lists this transfer RNA (66 nucleotides) under Taeniopteryx ugola. Its description in RNAcentral is "tRNA-Tyr". It matches the Rfam family "tRNA". Rfam says of the family: Transfer RNA (tRNA) molecules are approximately 80 nucleotides in length. Their secondary structure includes four short double-helical elements and three loops (D, anti-codon, and T loops). Lineage: Eukaryota; Metazoa; Arthropoda; Insecta; Plecoptera; Taeniopterygidae. The record is from RNAcentral.